AACGAACGCUGGCGGCAUGCCUAACACAUGCAAGUCGAACGAGACCUUCGGGUCUAGUGGCGCACGGGUGCGUAACGCGUGGGAAUCUGCCCUUGGGUUCGGAAUAACAGUGAGAAAUUACUGCUAAUACCGGAUGAUGUCUUCGGACCAAAGAUUUAUUGCCCAAGGAUGAGCCCGCGUAGGAUUAGCUAGUUGGUGGGGUAAUGGCCUACCAAGGCGACGAUCCUUAGCUGGUCUGAGAGGAUGAUCAGCCACACUGGGACUGAGACACGGCCCAGACUCCUACGGGAGGCAGCAGUGGGGAAUAUUGGACAAUGGGCGAAAGCCUGAUCCAGCAAUGCCGCGUGAGUGAUGAAGGCCUUAGGGUUGUAAAGCUCUUUUACCCGGGAUGAUAAUGACAGUACCGGGAGAAUAAGCUCCGGCUAACUCCGUGCCAGCCGCCGCCGUAA
RNAcentral lists this ribosomal RNA (449 nucleotides) under uncultured bacterium. RNAcentral describes it as "partial 16S ribosomal RNA". It matches the Rfam family "Bacterial small subunit ribosomal RNA", at positions 29 to 523 of the family's 1533-position model. The record is from RNAcentral.